GACGAACGCUGGCGGCGUGCCUAAUACAUGCAAGUAGAACGCACAGUUUAUACCGUAGCUUGCUACACCAUAAACUGUGAGUUGCGAACGGGUGAGUAACGCGUAGGUAACCUGCCUGGUAGCGGGGGAUAACUAUUGGAAACGAUAGCUAAUACCGCAUAAUAUUGAUUAUUGCAUGAUAAUUGAUUGAAAGAUGCUAUUGCAUCACUACCAGAUGGACCUGCGUUGUAUUAGCUAGUAGGUGAGGUAACGGCUCACCUAGGCGACGAUACAUAGCCGACCUGAGAGGGUGGUCGGCCACACUGGGACUGAGACACGGCCCAGACUCCUACGGGAGGCAGCAGGAGGGAAUCUUCGGCAAUGGACGAAAGUCUGACCGAGCAACGCCGCGUGAGUGAAGAAGGUUUUCGGAUCGUAAAGCUCUGUUGUAAGAGAAGAACGGGUGUGAGAGUGGAAAGUUCACACUGUGACGGUAUCUGACCAGAAAGGGACGGCUAACUACGUG
RNAcentral lists this ribosomal RNA (505 nucleotides) under uncultured bacterium. Its description in RNAcentral is "partial 16S ribosomal RNA". It matches the Rfam family "Bacterial small subunit ribosomal RNA", at positions 28 to 507 of the family's 1533-position model. The record is from RNAcentral.